CUACGCUGUGCAGCUCAAACGCGGCCGUGGCCGUGGCCGUAUUGCGGGGCCGAGGCCUUAAAAGGCUGGACCCGCACUCACCCUUACUUCACAAGCUCCUCCCUGAAAGCAAAACGGGCCUUCUGAGACCAGGAACGAACUCAAUCCCGAGUUGGCCAGGAUCCAGGUGGGCCAGCCGCGCGUCUCUUGCCCGGCACCUAGCUCGGUUCCCACGGAAAGACCCCCGUCUCUCGUCCCAAGCCCCACAGGGUCCCCUCGCCGCAGGAUGCCCCCCGAUUGUCGCGCCCGGGC
RNAcentral lists this long non-coding RNA (291 nucleotides) under Homo sapiens (human). RNAcentral describes it as "non-protein coding lnc-NDST1-1:1". The record is from RNAcentral. Lineage: Eukaryota; Metazoa; Chordata; Mammalia; Primates; Hominidae.